RNAcentral lists this long non-coding RNA (569 nucleotides) under Lathyrus oleraceus (garden pea). Its description in RNAcentral is "Pisum sativum (pea) long non-coding RNA (PSAT_LNC017816)". The record is from RNAcentral. Lineage: Eukaryota; Viridiplantae; Streptophyta; Magnoliopsida; Fabales; Fabaceae.
UUCACAGGACGAGUGAACUUCUUCAUCCAUUGCUGUAAGUGUUAGAACACUGCCUGAAAAGGCUCUCUUGACAACAUAUGGACAUUCAUAGCUUGGAGUUCACUUGCCCCUGGAACCGGGCACGAAAGACAAGACUUUCUUGAGCACAAGGUCCCUCGGAACACACGAGGCUUGAUCUUCUUAUCGAAUGCUUUCUUCACUCUCUGCUGAUAUAACUUGACCAUGACACAUGGCAGUUAAUCUCUUUUUUUUUUUAGCUGGAUUCAGCAUCAGUCAACUUGGGACUUUGAGGGUGCUAUCUUUCUUUUGUUUGUUUUUCUAUUGAUUUUGCUUUUGAUUUCUUUUGAUUUCUUUUGAUUUUGAUUGAUUUCUUCUUCUUUUUGAUUUUGCACCCUCCCUUUUUUUUUCUUUUUCUCUUUUUUUUUUGAUAAAUGCCCCAGUUGGCUGUUCUGCUGAUUCUCGAGAUGCAGCUGAGUGAUCUUCUUUUCUUGCUCAAGAAGUCGGGAAAUACCGUCAGGAAUCCCUUCAAUCAUCAUCUUCCUCCGCUUCGAAUACAGGGAAUUCAAAAU